Solanum dulcamara is the source of this 677-nucleotide long non-coding RNA. RefSeq lists it as uncharacterized. NCBI's taxonomy places the organism in Eukaryota, Viridiplantae, Streptophyta, Magnoliopsida, Solanales, Solanaceae. The record is from RefSeq and is a predicted model, not a curated record. The transcript has 2 exons.
ACCGACUUCACAUGAUUAAUGACAAGUACCCUACAAAAUAGGGUUUCCAAAUUGUCCUUCAGACCACUCUUUGUCUUUCUCUGCCGCUAAAAUGCUAUUGUGAAAGCCAAGCUCAGGUUUCCUCCUCCUACGCCUUUGGGUUAUCAACAUUCUCCACAAUGUCUUUGAUGCUCCGUCUAUUUCAGCUAACAAAGGUGUACCGUUAGGUGGGAGAGUUUACGAAAAACUCGAAGAGGGUCAAAACCUUAUGCCUUAGCUUUGCAGAUCCAUGUUAGUAACCCCCAUCCCCAUUUCUCCAUCCUCGAUUUCUUCUUGCUCCUAUCUUAUUCUCUCAUAUUCCACAGAUGACCGAUAAAAGGGAAAGGACAAGUUUCUCAGAGGUUGCUUCUUAUGGAACUCCUAGUAGGAUGGCACUCAGACAAUAUUUCACAUCUAGUUCUAAGACUCUCGCUUUUUGCUGGUUGAAGUAUCUUUUUUUGCUAGCUGACAUUGUAUAUGUUAGUUAUAAUUCUCACAAAUAUUUUGCUUGUAGCUAGGCCACAAACUAAGGUGUAAAUGUAAUAGCUGUGUGAGUUUGUGGCUCCUUCUAUGCUUAUCAUGCUAUUGAAUGUGAAUAUUGUUGAUCCUCCUUGUUUUAAUCUUGAUUGCUGGUAAUUGAUGUCUGUCCAUGUUAAGAA